RNAcentral lists this ribosomal RNA (253 nucleotides) under uncultured bacterium. RNAcentral describes it as "partial 16S ribosomal RNA". It matches the Rfam family "Bacterial small subunit ribosomal RNA", at positions 524 to 776 of the family's 1533-position model. The record is from RNAcentral.
UACGGGGGGGGCAAGCGUUGUUCGGAAUUACUGGGCGUAAAGGGCCUGUAGGCGGCCAACUAAGUCGGAUGUGAAAUCCCCAGGCUUAACCUGGGAACUGCAUCCGAUACUGGAUGGCUUGAAUUCGGGAGAGGGAUGCAGAAUUCCAGGUGUAGCGGUGAAAUGCGUAGAUAUCUGGAGGAACACCGGUGGCGAAGGCGGCUUGCUGGGCCAGUUCUGACGCUGAGGAGCGAAAGCGUGGGGAGCGAACAGG